CCUACGGGUGGCAGCAGUGGGGAAUAUUGGACAAUGGGCGAAAGCCUGAUCCAGCCAUGCCGCGUGUGUGAAGAAGGCCUUCGGGUUGUAAAGCACUUUCAGUGGGGAAGAAAGCCUUGGGGCUAAUACCCUCGAGGAAGGACAUCACCCACAGAAGAAGCACCGGCUAACUCCGUGCCAGCAGCCGCGGUAAUACGGAGGGUGCGAGCGUUAAUCGGAAUUACUGGGCGUAAAGCGCGCGUAGGCGGUCUGAUAAGCCGGUUGUGAAAGCCCCGGGCUCAACCUGGGAACGGCAUCCGGAACUGUCAGGCUAGAGUGCAGGAGAGGAAGGUAGAAUUCCCGGUGUAGCGGUGAAAUGCGUAGAGCUCGGGAGGAAUACCAGUGGCGAAGGCGGCCUUCUGGACUGACACUGACGCUGAGGUGCGAAAGCGUGGGUAGCAAACAGGAUUAGAUACCCGGGUAGUC
RNAcentral lists this ribosomal RNA (465 nucleotides) under Vreelandella stevensii. Its description in RNAcentral is "partial 16S ribosomal RNA". It matches the Rfam family "Bacterial small subunit ribosomal RNA", at positions 338 to 795 of the family's 1533-position model. Lineage: Bacteria; Pseudomonadati; Pseudomonadota; Gammaproteobacteria; Oceanospirillales; Halomonadaceae. The record is from RNAcentral.